This is a non-coding RNA of Potamilus streckersoni, 75 nucleotides long. Lineage: Eukaryota; Metazoa; Mollusca; Bivalvia; Unionida; Unionidae. The record is from the annotation of a GenBank genome assembly.
GGCACGGUAGCUUAGCUGGUAGAGCGUCGGAUUCUUAAUCAUAGAAAGACGCGGGUGGAAUACUGUCCCAAGCCA